GACGAACGCUGGCGGCGUGCUUAACACAUGCAAGUCGAGCGGGGUUUUCGGACCUAGCGGCGGACGGGUGAGUAAUGCGUAGGAAGCUGCCCGAUAGAGGGGGAUACCAGUUGGAAACGACUGUUAAUACCGCAUAAUGUCUACGGACCAAAGUGUGGGACCUUCGGGCCACAUGCUAUCGGAUGCGCCUACGUGGGAUU
RNAcentral lists this ribosomal RNA (200 nucleotides) under uncultured bacterium. RNAcentral describes it as "partial 16S ribosomal RNA". It matches the Rfam family "Bacterial small subunit ribosomal RNA", at positions 28 to 242 of the family's 1533-position model. The record is from RNAcentral.